GAUGAACGCUGGCGGCGUGCCUAAUACAUGCAAGUCGAGCGAACAGAUGAGGAGCUUGCUCCUCUGACGUUAGCGGCGGACGGGUGAGUAACACGUGGAUAACCUACCUAUAAGACUGGGAUAACUUCGGGAAACCGGAGCUAAUACCGGAUAAUAUAUUGAACCGCAUGGUUCCAUAGUGAAAGACGGUUUUGCUGUCACUUAUAGAUGGAUCCGCGCCGCAUUAGCUAGUUGGUAAGGUAACGGCUUACCAAGGUAACGAUGCGUAGCCGACCUGAGAGGGUGAUCGGCCACACUGGAACUGAGACACGGUCCAGACUCCUACGGGAGGCAGCAGUAGGGAAUCUUCCGCAAUGGGCGAAAGCCUGACGGAGCAACGCCGCGUGAGUGAUGAAGGUCUUCGGAUCGUAAAACUCUGUUAUUAGGGAAGAACAAAUGUGUAAGUAACUAUGCACGUCUUGACGGUACCUAAUCAGAAAGCCACGGCUAACUACGUG
RNAcentral lists this ribosomal RNA (497 nucleotides) under uncultured bacterium. Its description in RNAcentral is "partial 16S ribosomal RNA". It matches the Rfam family "Bacterial small subunit ribosomal RNA", at positions 28 to 507 of the family's 1533-position model. The record is from RNAcentral.